GUAGCUCAAAUGGUAGAGCGCUCGCUUUGCAUGCGAGAGGUACAGGGUUCGAUCCCCUGCAUCUCCAUUUCAAAAUUUUUCCAUUUUUUGGAGCCAUAUCGUGAGACCUCAUCGACGCGAGCGAAUGCUGCGAGUGGCGAAUUCGAUGCUGUUGGUGGAUUUGGAUUCGACACUGAUUGCUGAGUUCUCGCCGCUCUUCAAAAUGAGAUCUUUGAGUGAAGCAGAAGACUCGUCGGCGGCUCCACUCACAAUAGCCGAAAACGACACCUUCUGCUGCCCUAAUUCCCCCAUUAUUGGAGCCGGAAAAUUAGAGCUUUUAUGAACGAAGUAGUGAAGAAAAAAUGGUUGAAAACGUGGAAAUUGUUCAAGCUGUUGCUGCAUAAAUUGCCAGGUGCUUGAUUGCUCCAAUACGACGCCAAUGUGAUUAUUUCUGCAUUUACAAGAGCAAUUUUGAGAGUCUCUCAAGGGAGAAGUUGAGAAGCUGGAGGACGCGAAGGAGUCUCUGCAGCAUAUUAUUGAUGAUGCUAGAAGGAAAGGAGAAGAGGUUGAACAAGAAGUUGAGAGUUGGCUGAUGCAGAAGAUUAUUGAAGACGAGAAUGCAGAGAUCAAAUGCUUCAGCCUUCAAGGGAUGCCUUAUCUUGAAGAUCUAUUAGCUUGGAAAGAAAGCAGCGAGGGAGGAGAAGUCUGUUUCUCAAGCUCAGGGGAGAGGGGAAAUUCAAUAAAGUUUCCCACAGGACCAUUCCAGAGGUUAAGAUUAUGAGGUGUUUGAAUCAAGAAUGUGCACUUUGCAGGAGAUAAGAGAGGCAUCAAGUAAUCCUAAAGUCAACAUGAAGGAAGUUGCUAGACAAGCCGAGAAAGAAACCUGUUUGACCAUGUGGUAUUUGCGGAUGUAUCCCAGACCCCGAAAAUAAAUAAGAUUCAAGGGCAAAUUGCUGAUUCUUUAGGUCUGCAAUUCUCUGAGGCGUCUGAGCCUGGAAGAGCAUGGAGACUAUGUGAAGGACUGAGGAAAGAGAAGAAGAACCUGAUUAUUUUGGAUGAUAUUAGGGGAAGACUUGAUUUGGAGACUGUUGGAAUUCCUUUCAGAGAUGAUUAUAAAGGAUGUAAAACAUUACUGAUAUCUGGUUUUCUCAAUUUUCAUGAAAUAUGGUAUUGGUUUGGGUCUAUUCCAUGGCAUCAGUACAAUGGAAGCACAAGAUAGAAUGCAUACAUUAGUCUGUAAACUCAAAGCAUCUUGUUUGCUACUUGACGGCCAUGGAAGUGAAGAUUUUUCUAUGCAUGCUGUUGUUAGUGAUGUUGCCAUAUCAGUAGCAGCCUCUAGAGACCACAAUGUGUCAAGUCAAUGGCUUGAUGAGCCUAUGAUGUUAUGGCUUAAUUCAAAUAAACAUCGGUAAGAUUAUGUGUAUCCAAUAAGUAUUAUAUCUAGACACAUAACAGAGAUUAAUUAACUUCAAGCCCCAUUUUAUCAGC
Mangifera indica (mango) is the source of this 1467-nucleotide long non-coding RNA. RefSeq lists it as uncharacterized. NCBI's taxonomy places the organism in Eukaryota, Viridiplantae, Streptophyta, Magnoliopsida, Sapindales, Anacardiaceae. The record is from RefSeq and is a predicted model, not a curated record. The transcript is spliced from 2 exons.